This 23-nucleotide non-coding RNA is filed under the name Arabidopsis thaliana (thale cress). The record is from RNAcentral. Lineage: Eukaryota; Viridiplantae; Streptophyta; Magnoliopsida; Brassicales; Brassicaceae.
GACGCAACGCCAUGUUCAGAUCC